This 699-nucleotide ribosomal RNA is filed under the name uncultured Pasteurellales bacterium. Its description in RNAcentral is "bacterial SSU rRNA". It matches the Rfam family "Bacterial small subunit ribosomal RNA", at positions 68 to 761 of the family's 1533-position model. The record is from RNAcentral. Lineage: Bacteria; Pseudomonadati; Pseudomonadota; Gammaproteobacteria; Pasteurellales.
GGUAACAGGUAUUAGCUUGCUAAUCUGCUGACGAGUGGCGGACGGGUGAGUAAUGCUUGGGAAUCUGGCUUAUGGAGGGGGAUAACUACGGGAAACUGUAGCUAAUACCGCGUAAAAUCUUCGGAUUAAAGGGUGGGACUUUCGAGCCACCUGCCAUAAGAUGAGCCCAAGUGGGAUUAGGUAGUUGGUUAGGUAAAGGCUGACCAAGCCGACGAUCUCUAGCUGGUCUGAGAGGAUGACCAGCCACACUGGAACUGAGACACGGUCCAGACUCCUACGGGAGGCAGCAGUGGGGAAUAUUGCACAAUGGGGGGAACCCUGAUGCAGCCAUGCCGCGUGAAUGAAGAAGGCCUUCGGGUUGUAAAGUUCUUUCGGUGACGAGGAAGGUUGGUAGGUUAAUAGCCUAUCAAAUUGACGUUAAUCACAGAAGAAGCACCGGCUAACUCCGUGCCAGCAGCCGCGGUAAUACGGGGGGUGCGAGCGUUAAUCGGAAUAACUGGGCGUAAGGGCACGCAGGCGGUGACUUAAGUGAGAUGUGAAAGCCCCGAGCUUACUUGGGAAUUGCAUUUCAUAUGGGUCGUAGAGUACUUUAGGGAGGGGUAGAAUUCCACGUGUAGCGGUGAAAUGCGUAGAGAUGUGGAGGAUACCGAAGGCGAAGGCAGCCCCUUGGGAAUGUACUGACGCUCAUGUGCGAAAGCG